AACGAACGCUGGCGGCGCGCCUAAUACAUGCAAGUCGAGCGAGAAGACGUAGCAAUACGUUUGUAAAGCGGCGAACGGGUGAGGAAUACAUGGGUAACCUACCCUCGAGUGGGGAAUAACUAGCCGAAAGGUUAGCUAAUACCGCGUACGCUCCUUGGACUUCGGUUCAGGGAGGAAAGCGAUACCGUGGGUAUCGCGCUCUUGGAUGGGCUCAUGUCCUAUCAGCUUGUUGGUGAGGAACGGCUCACCAAGGCUUCGACGGGUAGCUGGUCUGAGAGGACGAUCAGCCACACUGGCACUGCGACACGGGCCAGACUCCUACGGGAGGCAGCAGUAAGGAAUAUUGCGCAAUGGGCGAAAGCCUGACGCAGCGACGCCGCGUGGGGGAUGAAGGUCUUCGGAUUGUAAACCCCGUUCCGGGAGGGAAGAUGGAACGAGCAAUCGUUCGGACGGUACCUCCAGAAGCAGCCACGGCUAACUUCGU
Molecule: ribosomal RNA, 484 nt
Filed under: uncultured bacterium
Lineage: Bacteria
Description: bacterial SSU rRNA
Rfam family: Bacterial small subunit ribosomal RNA
Source: RNAcentral